RNAcentral lists this long non-coding RNA (1012 nucleotides) under Homo sapiens (human). Its description in RNAcentral is "non-protein coding lnc-SFRP4-3:2". The record is from RNAcentral. Lineage: Eukaryota; Metazoa; Chordata; Mammalia; Primates; Hominidae.
ACUAUUUCCAGAAGCGUAAGGGUGAAGAAAUGGAAACAGAGAAGAGACAGUUGCCCAAAAAAUCUGUGGGCUGACAGCUUACAUUUGGAGAAGAGCAAAAAUUGGCUGGAUAAGCACUUGGAUUUGGAACUGGGGGCAAUGGGACUGAAGAGAACCAGUGAGAAUAAUUGUUAAGGAAUCAAAAGAACAAGGGGAUUUCAAGAAAGGCAUGAUCAACAGGGUCAAAUGCUGCUGGGAGGAAAAAGAAGCUAAGGCUUAAAAACUGUUCAUUGACCUUGAAGAGAAGGACAGAGUAAGAGGGCAGGAGUUGGUGGAAUAUAGCAUCAAACAAGGGUUUCUGAAGAUGGAAGAUUUUUGCUUGUUUACAUGAUAACUCUCAAAAUGGCCAUGAGGAUAUACUGGUUUUGAAUGCUCCAGUCGAAAUGGGACCUGUGGUGACCUAAUUUAUGCUCUGACAGUUCAAAGAACUCAAACAAAUACCAUUAGCUGUUAAAGAUUUCGGUCUCCCAUUCUAAGAAGCAGAUCUCAAGCCUUCAAAGAAACCUCCCAUUUCCUUCUGGCUAAGUAGAAAAAUAAUUACUUUGUCAUGAAUACACCAGUGACUACAGAACUCUUCGCUGUUUUGCAGGCUCUAGUUAGGAUGAGGAGCAAUUUCACUAAUCAUUUUUUACUCAAAAUCUCACCAGACCCUUAAAAAUAAACCCUCUAGGCCAAGCGCUAUGGGAUUUUGCCAAUCGAAAUCUGAAGCCUUGUUCAGAGUGUGAAAAGCAGUUUUAAUUAGGAGCACAGGCCAGCCUCUUUUUAAAGGAAAGAAAACUUCUUAAAAUUACAUUAAUUGCCCUAUUAUUAGUAAAUUAAAAAAAAACACAAAAGUCUGUAGAACUCAGUGAUGGGUGAAACUGAUUGCAUUUUCCCGUUGCAGCAGCAGAAAAGCCCUCUCAAGGAGAAUGGCAUGCAUCAUGUGCUGGGGUAGAUAAGGUUUAAUUUCCCCCGGGCAGUGCCGGGCCUUGAA